RNAcentral lists this long non-coding RNA (334 nucleotides) under Astyanax mexicanus (Mexican tetra). RNAcentral describes it as "lncRNA (ENSAMXG00005003781.1)". Lineage: Eukaryota; Metazoa; Chordata; Actinopteri; Characiformes; Acestrorhamphidae. The record is from RNAcentral.
AUGUCUCUACCUGUGAGGCACUUGGACUCGUCCUGCAGCAUUUUGAGGAUCUUAAUUAUCUUAACCUCAGUCACUGUAAACUCACUGAUGCAUGUUUGAACUUGUUGUUGCCACAUCUUCACAAAGUGCAGCUUCUGGAUCUAAACAACAAUGACAUCACUGAUGCUGGGGCGCAGAGACUGCUGAAGAUCUUAGGCAGCACACAGACUGUAAACAUUUUCAACAACCAGAUCACAGACAUAAGGCUUUUCAUGAACUACCAGUCAAGUCCAGGUAACAAGUAAAACAUCACUACUGCCACUAACUUUCUAAUUUUGAUUAUAAAAAACUUACU